Molecule: long non-coding RNA, 1082 nt
Organism: Cavia porcellus (domestic guinea pig)
Lineage: Eukaryota; Metazoa; Chordata; Mammalia; Rodentia; Caviidae
Exons: 3
Source: RefSeq, a predicted model, not a curated record
AGGGGGAGGGGAGAGAAGAUUCACUGCCAGCUCGGGCCCAAGGGGUUUGAUUUGAAUGCAGUCGAAUUAUAGUUUUAACAAUUUGAUAAAAAUGGGUUUCUCCUCCCUAGCCACCUCCUCCCCAGGCGAUGAGCUGGGGGUUUAAACAGGAAAUUGAGGAGUGCUCCCCUCCCCCACGCGGGCUUAGCUCGGAGUCUCAGUCGCGCUCAGAAGAGGAUGGGGUGCUGUUGGUUCGUAUUGAAGGCUCUUACAGGGAGGACUGUUCUGCGGAGCGCUCCGAACGGACAAACCACAAUAAAAAGUUCACGUUCAUGGAUGGAAUCCACAUGACUUCUUGUGGCCAAUCCAACUUGUAAUAAGGUUGGAUCUAGGGGAAUCAACGCUUUGCGAAGAUUUGUAACCUGAGGAAUGAAGUUAAAGGCCCGAAAAGCGUUACUCUUACCAUCCCUACCGCUCUCCCUCCACGCCUGGAGAGAACAACAUCCUUUCUAUUUUCCUUCUCUGGUGUCUUUCAUUAACCCUCAUCCCACCCAGGACAGAAACAGAAGUGGCAAACCUGGCAGCCUCUCAACCAAGGCUACCCAGGACGUGAUGAAAAGAGCUGACAGGACUAGACCAGCCCUGGGCAGUUCUGGCAGCAGAAGGGCUGAGAAUCUGGGGUGUCCUCCAGAACCCUCCAAGCACCUCUCAUCCCAAGGUCUCUUUCUCGGACAGAAUGGCAUUAGCUCCCCUAAAGAUCAUUGCUAGUAUGAUCUCCACGCCUCCAAGGUUCUAAUGGCAGCUUACAAUCCUUUUAGACAUAAAAGCAAAAUUAAAGGCCAUUCUUUUGGUCUGCAUUUCCUAUUUCUUUGGGGUGCAAGGCAGUUUGAAACCUUUCCUCUCUUGUCUGGUUUCCCACACCCACCUGCCUUUUUCAGAAAAUUUUCCUGGUUUGGUGUCUAGACAUCUGGGAUAUGUUUCUGAGGCCCUAAAAGAACCUUUUUACUGCCCUGAACUCUAUCUUCUGAAUAAAAAUUCCAGCCAUCCCCGCUUUAUUUCUCCAGACCCCUAAUUUUGGUAGUGAGCUCCAUGUGGGGAGUCCA